Wyeomyia smithii (pitcher-plant mosquito) is the source of this 765-nucleotide long non-coding RNA. RefSeq lists it as uncharacterized. The record is from RefSeq and is a predicted model, not a curated record. NCBI's taxonomy places the organism in Eukaryota, Metazoa, Arthropoda, Insecta, Diptera, Culicidae. The transcript is spliced from 2 exons.
AUAAGUUUACCAUCACUAGCGUCAUUGCGAAUAAAGCGCAGAAUAAAGGCAAAGCGUUUGCAGGAAAGUAUCAAGUUAAAUUCAAAACUACAAAGUUGUACGUGCUUUAGGAAUUGAAAAUGACAAAUAAAGAAGCUGGAAGUAUUCAGGAAAUAACUCAAAGUUUUUUUCUGGAAAGCUAUCAUAACGGAUGUUGGUACAUAUCGUGAGUGAUCAUCUGAAAAAUCUGCUAAAUUAUACUGGAAUGUCGGCGAAUGUCGCUCUUGAAAACCUUACAGAGAUGAGCAACAUUCAGCAACUAGAACAAAUGAUAAUUACUCAAAAAAUGAGAAUUGUACAAUUUUGUGCCACAAACUCUAUAAAUUUAGAAAGAUAUAUGCCGUACUGCCAAGUCGAUGAGGCAGAUUUUUCUUUCACCUUCGUGGAUAAGCUGACUAUAAUGGAAAUUGCGCAAUGUGUUAAGAAAAACGGUAUCUCUGUAGAGAGCACUCGAAACCGAAAUCGAACAGAGUGAAAAAAAUUAAAAUAAUGAAGCCUCAACAGUCGUGGCCUGUAUAAAAUCUCGUAAAACAUUUUGAUGCACAUCGUUCAAACAGAGAUUCGAAUUCGAACAAGCGAGGGCGAAGAACCCAUGUAGUUUCUGAAAAGUGGCAAUAUACUCGAAGGCACCAGCAAAAUAAUGAGUCUCUGAACUGUUCAACAGAAGAACAUAUCUUAGAUUUUUAUGAUGCUACGAUGGAUGAAAAUAUAGACAAUAAUAACAUA